CCCUAUGACUUCAGUCAGCAAAGGAUACUAACAAACAUCCCUCCUAUGACAAAUUCCCCUCAGGUUAACCCUUUCGAGUACCCCACAACAAACUUCCACCAGCAAGCUGUUCCUUCGUUUGAUGCCAAUCCUCUUCCGUCCCAGGAUCCCAUGAAGCCUCUCCAGCAGGACCAACCCACUCAGACAAACCAGGUGCCUGUGAAGCUGUGAGGAGUCAUGAAAAGAGGAUGACACGCGUUCUACAGGAGAGAAAAUGACCUACAACACUGUUUCAUACAGUCUUAGUUAAAAUACUAAAAAGAUACCUUAUAAGUACAUUUUAUAGAGAAUAGAGUCACAGAGAUUUAAUACAUUACUGUAUCUAAUGACAACAUCAUUAAGAUAUAAUGAAACGUGUUUCUGAAGAAUGUGUUUCACUUUAUACUGUGUGCCAUUCAUUAAUAUUAACAUGUACUGUGCCUGUAAACCUUUCAGCAGCCAUUUUCUGUUAUUGUUAUUGUGAAAUGGACUUUCAUGCUUUAUUUUGACAGGACCUGGAGAAAAUGCUGCCUUUUCUAACCUUUACUAUUUGCAUUUAAAAAAAUAACAAUAAAGCAUACAUUU
This is a long non-coding RNA of Betta splendens (Siamese fighting fish), 603 nucleotides long. RefSeq lists it as uncharacterized. The record is from RefSeq and is a predicted model, not a curated record. Lineage: Eukaryota; Metazoa; Chordata; Actinopteri; Anabantiformes; Osphronemidae. The transcript has 5 exons.